RNAcentral lists this ribosomal RNA (799 nucleotides) under Protoparmelia atriseda. RNAcentral's name for it is "SSU rRNA". It matches the Rfam family "Bacterial small subunit ribosomal RNA", at positions 426 to 1211 of the family's 1533-position model. The record is from RNAcentral. Lineage: Eukaryota; Fungi; Ascomycota; Lecanoromycetes; Lecanorales; Parmeliaceae.
UCAAACAGUUUGAGCAAUAUCGACUAUGUCGAAUAAAAUUCUGGGUAGAAUUAUGAUAAUGACAUUGUCUGCCCAUGUGUCUUGACCAAAUUACGUGCCAGCAGUCGCGGUAAUACGUAGAAGACUAGUGUUAUUCAUCUUUAAUAGGUUUAAAGGGUACCUAGACGGUAAAUCAAGCCUACUCAGGGACUAAUUUACUAGAGUUACUUAUGAGGGGGUAUUAAAGUACUGCUGGUGUAGAGAUGAAAUUCUGUCAUACCUCUUUUCGUAUGAAAAAUAAUGGCACAGGUAUAGGCGAAAGCAUCCCCUUAUGUGAUAACUGACGUUGAAGGACGAAGGCUUUGUGUCGCGAACAGGAUUAGAUACCCCAGUAGUCAAAGCAGAAAAUGAUGAAUGUCAUAGAUUAGAUUUAAGAUUUUUUAUUCUAUAAAUGAAAGUGUAAGCAUUCCACCUCAAGAGUAAUUUGGCAACAUUGGAACUGAAAUCAUUAGACCGUUUCUGAAACCAGUAGUGAAGUAUGUUGUUUAAUUUGAUGUUCCGCAAAAAACCUUACCACAACUUGAAUAUUUAUAUAGCUUUUCUCUUUUUGAUCUUUUUUAUAUAUAGUUAAAUAGAUAAAGGAGGGAAAAGGAUAUAUUUACAAGCGUUGCACGGCUGUCUUUAGUUAAUGUCGCGAGACUAUGGUUAGUUCCAUUAAAUUAACGUAAACCCUUACUUUAUUUUUUAUAUAAAGUUGUUCCCCGCUAUAUUGGAUAUGAUAACAGGGACUAAGACAAGUCAUCAUGGCCUAAAUAUUGUG